RNAcentral lists this ribosomal RNA (497 nucleotides) under uncultured bacterium. RNAcentral describes it as "partial 16S ribosomal RNA". It matches the Rfam family "Bacterial small subunit ribosomal RNA", at positions 28 to 507 of the family's 1533-position model. The record is from RNAcentral.
GAUGAACGCUGGCGGCGUGCCUAAUACAUGCAAGUCGAGCGAACAGACGAGGAGCUUGCUCCUCUGACGUUAGCGGCGGACGGGUGAGUAACACGUGGAUAACCUACCUAUAAGACUGGGAUAACUUCGGGAAACCGGAGCUAAUACCGGAUAAUAUAUUGAACCGCAUGGUUCAAUAGUGAAAGACGGUUUUGCUGUCACUUAUAGAUGGAUCCGCGCCGCAUUAGCUAGUUGGUAAGGUAACGGCUUACCAAGGCAACGAUGCGUAGCCGACCUGAGAGGGUGAUCGGCCACACUGGAACUGAGACACGGUCCAGACUCCUACGGGAGGCAGCAGUAGGGAAUCUUCCGCAAUGGGCGAAAGCUUGACGGAGCAACGCCGCGUGAGUGAUGAAGGUCUUCGGAUCGUAAAACUCUGUUAUUAAGGAAGAACAAAUGUGUAAGUAACUAUGCACGUCUUGACGGUACCUAAUCAGAAAGCCACGGCUAACUACGUG